UUUGGAAAUUAUAUUGAAGCACCUGAUGAUUGCUUUUGGGAAAUAUUAGAGGCGAAACCUCAGGAUUGUAUAUGAUGCUAUUGGGACUCUUGCUGAAGCUGUUGGAGGCAAGCUGAAUCAACCUGUUUAUUUUGACAUUCUUAUGCCACCAUUAAUUGAGAAGUGGCAACAACUUUCAAAUUCAGACAAAGAUCU
Molecule: long non-coding RNA, 195 nt
Organism: Abrus precatorius (Indian licorice)
Lineage: Eukaryota; Viridiplantae; Streptophyta; Magnoliopsida; Fabales; Fabaceae
Exons: 3
Source: RefSeq, a predicted model, not a curated record